GGUAGUCCAGUAAUGGUUCGAAGUGAUUCUCAACAAGGCUGAGGACUCAACAUGUUAUAGAGCAAGCUUUUUAACUGGUGAUGAUGCUAAUUCAGUUGGCUUGAUUAAGCUGCUAGGCUGUGGAAGUCUGCUCAAGUUGUUUGAAGAAAUAUGCUCAAAUGCCUUUUGGUUGUGGAGGCUGCUUAGUUAGGGACUUGCUGCUUAUAUUUUACUUUUUCGAAUCUGUGUAAUUGAUUCUUUACUAAAGAUUUGUAAGUUGAUUUUUCUGAUCCGA
This 274-nucleotide unclassified non-coding RNA is filed under the name Hevea brasiliensis (rubber tree). Lineage: Eukaryota; Viridiplantae; Streptophyta; Magnoliopsida; Malpighiales; Euphorbiaceae. The record is from RNAcentral.